Molecule: ribosomal RNA, 1018 nt
Filed under: Citrobacter freundii
Lineage: Bacteria; Pseudomonadati; Pseudomonadota; Gammaproteobacteria; Enterobacterales; Enterobacteriaceae
Also listed under: 1 other name
Description: partial 23S ribosomal RNA
Rfam family: Bacterial large subunit ribosomal RNA
Source: RNAcentral
AUACCAGCUGGCUGCAACUGUUUAUUAAAAACACAGCACUGUGCAAACACGAAAGUGGACGUAUACGGUGUGACGCCUGCCCGGUGCCGGAAGGUUAAUUGAUGGGGUUAUCCGUAAGGAGAAGCUCUUGAUCGAAGCCCCGGUAAACGGCGGCCGUAACUAUAACGGUCCUAAGGUAGCGAAAUUCCUUGUCGGGUAAGUUCCGACCUGCACGAAUGGCGUAAUGAUGGCCAGGCUGUCUCCACCCGAGACUCAGUGAAAUUGAACUCGCUGUGAAGAUGCAGUGUACCCGCGGCAAGACGGAAAGACCCCGUGAACCUUUACUAUAGCUUGACACUGAACACUGGUCCUUGAUGUGUAGGAUAGGUGGGAGGCUUUGAAGUGUGGACGCCAGUCUGCAUGGAGCCGCCCUUGAAAUACCACCCUUUAAUGGCUGGUGUUCUAACGUAGGCCCGUUACCCGGGUUGCGGACAGUGUCUGGUGGGUAGUUUGACUGGGGCGGUCUCCUCCUAAAGAGUAACGGAGGAGCACGAAGGUUAGCUAAUCCUGGUCGGACAUCAGGAGGUUAGUGCAAAGGCAUAAGCUAGCUUGACUGCGAGCGUGACGGCGCGAGCAGGUGCGAAAGCAGGUCUUAGUGAUCCGGUGGUUCUGAAUGGAAGGGCCAUCGCUCAACGGAUAAAAGGUACUCCGGGGAUAACAGGCUGAUACCGCCCAAGAGUUCAUAUCGACGGCGGUGUUUGGCACCUCGAUGUCGGCUCAUCACAUCCUGGGGCUGAAGUAGGUCCCAAGGGUAUGGCUGUUCGCCAUUUAAAGUGGUACGCGAGCUGGGUUUAGAACGUCGUGAGACAGUUCGGUCCCUAUCUGCCGUGGGCGCUGGAGAAUUGAGGGGGGCUGCUCCUAGUACGAGAGGACCGGAGUGGACGCAUCACUGGUGUUCGGGUUGUCAUGCCAAUGGCACUGCCCGGUAGCUAAAUGCGGAAGAGAUAAGUGCUGAAAGCAUCUAAGCACGAAACUUGCC